AGAGGGUUGUGGCUCAGGGGAAGAGCUUCUGCUUUGCAUGCGGAAGAUCCGAGGUUCAAUCCCUGACACCUCCA
This 74-nucleotide transfer RNA is filed under the name Sphaerodactylus townsendi. Its description in RNAcentral is "tRNA-Ala". It matches the Rfam family "tRNA". From Rfam's summary of the family: Transfer RNA (tRNA) molecules are approximately 80 nucleotides in length. Their secondary structure includes four short double-helical elements and three loops (D, anti-codon, and T loops). Further hydrogen bonds mediate the characteristic L-shaped molecular structure. tRNAs have two regions of fundamental functional importance: the anti-codon, which is responsible for specific mRNA codon recognition, and the 3' end, to which the tRNAs corresponding amino acid is attached (by aminoacyl-tRNA synthetases). tRNAs cope with the degeneracy of the genetic code in two manners: having more than one tRNA (with a specific anti-codon) for a particular amino acid; and 'wobble' base-pairing, i.e. permitting non-standard base-pairing at the 3rd anti-codon position. The record is from RNAcentral. Lineage: Eukaryota; Metazoa; Chordata; Lepidosauria; Squamata; Sphaerodactylidae.